UCCGUAGGUGAACCUGCGGAGGGAUCAUUACCGAGUUUACAACUCCCAAACCCCUGUGAACAUACCUAUACGUUGCCUCGGCGGAUCAGCCCGCGCCCCGUAAAACGGGACGGCCCGCCCGAGGACCCUAAACUCUGUUUUUAGUGGAACUUCUGAGUAAAACAAACAAAUAAAUCAAAACUUUCAACAACGGAUCUCUUGGUUCUGGCAUCGAUGAAGAACGCAGCAAAAUGCGAUAAGUAAUGUGAAUUGCAGAAUUCAGUGAAUCAUCGAAUCUUUGAACGCACAUUGCGCCCGCCAGUAUUCUGGCGGGCAUGCCUGUUCGAGCGUCAUUUCAACCCUCAAGCUCAGCUUGGUGUUGGGACUCGCGGUAACCCGCGUUCCCCAAAUCGAUUGGCGGUCACGUCGAGCUUCCAUAGCGUAGUAAUCAUACACCUCGUUACUGGUAAUCGUCGCGGCCACGCCGUAAAACCCCAACUUCUGAAUGUUGACCUCGGAUCAGGUAGGAAUACCCGCUGAACUUAAGCAUAUCAAUAAGCGGAGGA
RNAcentral lists this ribosomal RNA (545 nucleotides) under Fusarium chlamydosporum. Its description in RNAcentral is "eukaryotic LSU rRNA". The stretch from base 179 to 332 matches the Rfam family "5.8S ribosomal RNA". The record is from RNAcentral. Lineage: Eukaryota; Fungi; Ascomycota; Sordariomycetes; Hypocreales; Nectriaceae.